Lonchura striata (white-rumped munia) is the source of this 6579-nucleotide non-coding RNA. NCBI's taxonomy places the organism in Eukaryota, Metazoa, Chordata, Aves, Passeriformes, Estrildidae. The record is from RefSeq and is a predicted model, not a curated record.
AAACAUGCCACUGAUCUGACUACCUUACACAUAAAUUGCAGUGGAAAGAGCAGAAAACCACGUUAUUAUCUUGCAUUAUAAAUACAUCAGGAAGUCUGUCUUCAGUACAGAUAGUCUUUGCAGAAGAGCCAAAGGGGCAGCAGUCCUUGUUAGUUCCUUAGUGGAGUAAAAUCCCCUCUCCUGCCUUCUGCUGACUAACCUGAUGUGACAUUUACUUUAGUAAAAAGUAAGCUGCAGUAUUACUGUAUUUUCUUGCUUUCUGGUUUCUAUGGAGAUGAAUUUUGUUGUUGUAAAGAAAAAUUAUGAAUGUCUCAAUAAGUGCACAAACCCCACACUUUUGUUUGCUUCUGUGCAUGCUGUACCUGGAGUGUAUUUGAAAAUAUAUUAUAAUGUUUGUGCUCCCAAAUGCUUUUCUAAUGGCUGGAAAGGAGACAGGGAAGCAGUGGUGUGCAGGAUAAUAUAUCUGAGUUGCUUGACGCUGCAGUUGAUCUGGUGAUGUCACUUGAGGCAGCCCUGCUCUUAUAUUCUAGGUUGUAAAUGUCUCUUACCAUUUCGUAAUGCAUACAUCCUGUGGAUAUGUCUCUGUGCAUCCAUACAUUGGUGCCAAAUCAAGUUAGUAUCUGAUCUACUUGAUUUCACAGACCACCUCAACUGGAACAAAUAUUGUCGUCCUACUAUAUAUUUUAUAAACACACACACACCCACAUACACACAGAUGCACAUACACAAUGAAAGGAAGACAGAGCAAGAAAUGCCCUUAACAAAUGAGGUAACGUUUAUAUUCUUUAAUUUCUGUUUUUUAAAAAGUGACAUAUAAUUAGCUGAACUUGCUACAUUUCAGUCACCCCAGGUCUUUACCAGUAGUUGAAAUACGUACUAGAUAUGCCUAAUCUCUGAGAGGGGCAAAGCAUUAUUUCUAUUUAUUUUCAUGUAUGUCUGGCUUCUUAAAAGGAAUUCAUGUUAUUAUGUAAGAGAGUGGUGUACAGUGGGGCAAAGCUGAAGACUCUAGUAGUGUUACUACUUUGAUGUUCGUAUUUCAGGACUCUAUAGGUUUUCCUCUGUAGCUCUUAAGUUUUUGAAUCCCUCCUCUUCAUUCAAGAGUGAAUUGCCUCUGGAAUAGAUGCUCUAAGCGACAUUGCUGAGCGAGUUUAAAAUAGAAACAUACUGGAGAAUGUCUUAGUGUUCAUUGUGCCUUAAAAAUAUGUGCUCUGUUUCUCUUCACUUUCUCACUGCCAUCUCUGUGGCACUUUUUAAUAUGUAAACAUACAAUAUGCUGUGCAGUUCUCAUGAAUAAUUUAUUGCGUGAUUGCUAAAUUUAUUUGUACAAGUCUUUGCUACUUCAAGUUUCAGAUGACCUUGCCACCUUGUUUAAGAGGAAAAGCUUCUGAGCUGCCAAAAUGGCUCCAUUCAUUUUAUACAGGAAAGAGUGAUGUCCCAUAAAGUGUGAAUUCUGUAUUAAGCAAUGUGUUAGUUGUGUGUAGUGUGGAAAUCAGUAUCAAAUUCCAUAAGGUAAAAAACAUUUCAAAAGAUGCUUUGAAACUGGAAAGAAUCAGGUCUGUGCAGGUGUAGUUCAUUGAGAAAAUAUUACAGUUCAUGUCAACUUUUACAUGUCUUCCACGGAGACCAAUGACACAGUAACUUUUUUAAACUUUAAUUUUUAGUAAAAGAGGAUGGGACUAAAAUCAGUAAUUUUAGGUGAAGUCAAUUAUUCUAGAUUUUACUUAUGUAUCUAGUUCCGACAAUUUCUCAGGCUAUUGCCACAUUUUGGAUUAAGGAUAUUGCUUAGUCUUUCAAUUUGAACGUUAGUGAAUUAAUUCUGAUUUGCGCAAAUUUAAAAUUGUCUAAAAUUGGACCACUUUUCUCUGUAAAACUAAGCACCUUAAAUUCAAAAAGUGUUUGCUCAAACCUUUGCUCAUUUACACUAUUUGCAGUAGAUUCUUCUUUCAUUCCAACCACCUUAUGCUAUUUUUGCUUUAUAUUUAGCUGAGGAGCACCUCUUCCAUUGUGUUUGCUGUCAUUUAUAGAAAUUGUGAUUCAUAACCUGAUCUUUUUUUUUCCUCUUUAAGCUGAACCCAGUUUUGGUUCUAAAGUGUUUAAUAGCUUUAGAAAUUAUCAAUCCUUGUAAUAUGGGGGAGAGGCAGAGAAGAAAGAGAAAAUUAAAUUUAUAUGCUUAUGUGUGUGUAUGCUCAUAAAAUUCUGUACAUCUGUAUUAAAUAAAAGUAACCCUAAAGGCCUUAUUUACGUUUCUACUUGCCAUUUAAAUGCACAUGUAUUUUUGCAUAAGUCCAAGUUUGCAUUCAUUUCAUGUUUUGCAGUCUUGUGCCAAUAAUCUGACUACUUCUUCUUUUUAAAAAUAUAAGAAUAUUUUUAAAUAUAAGAAUAUAUAUAUGAAUAUAUAUAAGAAUAUUUUUAAACAACAGAUAUUGUCCUAAUGAAAUGUAGGCAAACCGACUGACAACUGAAUGAACAUAUCUCAUGUUCCUUAAGCUAAAUGUGAGCAGAAUCCUGCAAAAAUCAAUUGUCUGAUAGCUGGAGGACACUGGCUUCCAUGUGAUUGAAUUUCCUGGCUUGACAGAGGCUUCUAAAGCGCAGAUGUGCGAGUUUUUCUAACCUAAUUAAAGAAGCCCCCACCAUCAGCUCUGAAUUAAGUGAUUUCAUGGUAAUAUGAAAUGAAAACUCUUUGCUGAACCGCUGUGAAACAGUGAGUUUGGACCUUGCUAUUGUGUAUAAAUUACUCAGAGCACAUGUCCCCAAAUAUACAGCACAAAAGCCUGAGAGCUGCUGGACCAAGAUGAAUAUUCAUGUGAGUUCAAGCAUAAAGCUCUGAGACAUUAUCAGUUUCCUCUAUUUCUGUUUCCAUUCCCUGCAUAGGUUACUUGUGAAGAUUCAGGGCCUGUCCUUUUGCAUGUGUCAGGGACAGUAGACAGAUUAUUCCAAAGGAUUAUGGAUGGCAUGCUAGCAGGUAACUACCUGCAACACUAGCAAAACUUUAAUUUUUUUUUAUUUUCACUAGGUAAAAGACAUACAUCAAAAUGUUCACCCAGGAAUACUUUUGGAACUGGAAAAAUUUUGUGUGUUCAAUGUCAUAGCUAAUUGCCAAUGGUUAUUUUAAGCAGUUUUGUUUUCUUCAAACAGGUCUAGAACAUUUGUAUUUUAUUUUAAAUCUUGAAUGUAUAUGAAACAGGUUGCCUUAGCAGAUAGAAUCCGUUGUGAGUUAUCAAAAUUGAUCUGAUCUAUGUCACUUUGGAGGUUUCAGUCCUUUUUCUUUUCCCUUCACAUUUGCGUGUUUUAUUUAAACUCUGUUCAUUUCUUUUGCACUACAUACAUUAUUCAGAGAAUCCCUCUUACUGACAGCGCUGAAAUUAUUCAAAAACAUGAAUAGUACAAGAUUCUUACUCAUCAGAACACAAUACACCAGAGCUGAAACAUUUGUCUAUUGGCAUACAUUGUUCUGCCACUUAUAAGCAGGAAAUUCUGCUCAUGAUUAGAAAUCUACCUGAUUUCAGUUUGAUUUCAGAUGUUGGAGCAAAACAUUGAUUUUUGGAGAGGAUUGUAUGUAUUUAUUCUUUAGCUGAAUGCAAAAUAAUUUUCUUCCCUCCCUGUACCAUCUAUAUAGUACAUUAGUAUAUCUCAGCAUCGCAGUCAACAUUAAACAUGCUUGAGUACUUAUGAGAGGUAGUGCUAUGAUUUUACAAAGAACUAUUUGCCUUUCAGCUCUUGUCUUGUGGUUGAGAAUUUUUCUGUUGAAGUUGGAAAAAUCCUUAAUCUGUAGCAUCUUGCAGUUCUUGAACAGAGUUAGGCUAAAGGGGAUGAAGAGAGAUUGAUUCCAGUCUUUCAUUAGUGUUUUAUACUAAAAGUAAAGCUUUUCUCUUUGAGUCUGUUUGACUUCAUGUGUAUUCUGAGAUUAAUAUAUACCUAAUAAGUGUAAUUUAGAGAAAAUGAGGCACUUCCUUCCUCUUUUGCACAGUUCUGUUCUUACUAGAUUUUAAUCCCAGUAGAUGCAAAUCUCCCAAAGCAUAAUCUUGUUUACGUGCUACAUGGAUGAGAAGAAAAGCCUACUGGAAUUAAAAAUUUUGUAUCUUGGAAUGACUUUCCUCUUUCUCCAGGAGUUAGUGUUUUUGACUCUUGUGCCCUCUAGAUUUAUGUGAGGUUGAUGACCUGAAAUUGGAGGGCCUGAUUCUGCCUCACUAGUGAGAAUGCAUUUUCUGGGGAAGAUCUACUGAGGCCAGAGGCAGCCCUGAAGUCAGACAGGAGCCUCCCUUGUCACUCUCACCUCUCUGUGUGUUUGUCUCUGGGCAUGUGCAUGCUCCUGAGGGGAGAGGCAAUGUCAUUUUGGAGUUAACUUUCUGCUGAGAACUCCAGAAACCUGAGGAAAUAGACUCACACAUAGUAUUGCCCUUAUAUUGAGACUAUCUGUCAUUUUACCUACAGGAGUUUCAACUUUGAUUUUCUCAGCUGCAUCAUAAUGGGAUUUUCAUUAAAUUUGGUUAUUAAUUCUGCUUUAUAAUUGCAACUCAAUUUAGCAAUAGAAGCAUAACCUUGGUUGAAUAAUCAGUGUCAUUUAAAACCAUGGUGUUCUUUAUUUAGUAAGUGAGGUUUCAUACAUCAGCAUGGUGUUUUGCUAUCAAGAGCAGUGCAGUAUUCCCAAGGAUGCAGUUUGGGGUGUGUUGGGAGUUAUCAUACAGUCAGGUUUUAACUGCAAAAGCAAACAGUGUACUAGUUGGUUAGAAAGAUGGAACUAGAUUAAAAUUUACCCUUCUAAGGUAGGUUCGAUUACAAAAAUAAUUUUUAAGUGAGUGUUUUGCUUUAAUACGCAGAAUUUAUCUCAAGUUAGACUCCAAUUAUGAAAACAAUUUCUCUUAACACUUUUUAUUAUUAGGCUUGCUGAUGGAAUCAAAGAAUGUGUGUGUACUUGGGUGUCAUCUGCCAUAAGAAGAAUUCUGUAUAUUUUUUAGAGAUAAGAACAUCCAUAUUCAAAGAAUUUCAUAGCUCUAAAUGUGAUAUUUGUAAAUAGCCAUACAACAGAGAGAAGAUGAACUGUCAAUAUCUCCACUCCAUAAGAGUCUGGUUUUAAUUUUCAGGGUUAGUGUUGGGAAAAUAAAUGAUGGGCCUUUGCUGACAUACAGUCAGAUUCCUACCCUGGAAAUCCAAAACAUUCAUUUCCCUGGCAUUUGUUCUAGCAUGUUACUGGACUGACUAAAACUUUAAACUCAAAAGCUUUAUAGUAGCCUAUAGAAAUAAUUUAAUGUUAAUUUCAGAAGAUUGAUAAGAAACACUGUAUUUCUUCAUUCCUUUUGCAGUAGGCAAAGCAGUGCAGUUCUUCUUGUGUAGGACAAAGCACUUUAACAAGUAAAUUAAAUUGAUUAACUUGAGCUUUAUCAUUGUGAUCUAAGUUUGUAUGCUAGUCAAAAUAACUCAUGCAUUUCAUUUUUAGGUCUUAAUUGUUUUGAGACUUGCUUGUUCAUGAGAAGGGAAGACGUCUGCUUUGAUUUCUUAAUGGUUUUAGAUACUACAAUGAAUUGUGCAAUGCCAGAUUGUGAGCAGGCACUCAAGAUCAAAAAGAAAGGCUACCCUACAUUUUGGCACUCAGAGAUAUUCUAGUGUUUUCUGGAGUCCUUAGCAGCACCUGCCUUCCUGUUGGGAACUGCUUCCUGCUGAGCACUUGGGAAAAUCUGUCCUCCUCUGUGCAAUAAUGCAUGGAAAAAUGUUUUCUGUUGGUGCUGGUACUUCCUUGUGAGGACUGUGUUUCUUCCCUGCUCGUUUGCCAGAUAAAGUCUGCCUGACUUGUACAAAUAAUUGCAAGUUCUGUAUGGUGAGAAGAUGGAACCAGAGUGAUACAUACCCCUCACCCUUGGCCUGGCUGCACACUGGAAAGACUGGACAUUCUUCCUCUUCACCAGUUCCUCCAGAGCUGACUAUAGCUAAGUUUUAUGUUGGACUCAACUGGAAAUACCUGGAUAGUUACAACAAAGCUACUGUAAUGGCUGGAUUUUGAUCAGCUAUGCUAUUAUUAACAAUCUCCAAUGCAAACACUGGCCCUUGUCCUGAAGGUUUUUUUUUCCCCCAGGCAGAGCUGUUUGUGAUUUAAAUAGGGGAUCUACCUGAGCAGUGAUUGCAGAGUUUGGAACUCCUUAAAAAGAAGUAGUAGGAAUCCACUUUAUUUACAAAGGGAGCAUGUUCUCAUUUUUUCAUCUCAUAGCUCAAUUUUUUAAACGUACUAAAUUGCUUAACUCCUGUUAUUUUUAAAACCCAAAAUGUUUAGCAAUUGGACCCCUGGUACAUAAUUGCCUGUUUACAAAGAAAGUCAGUUGGGCUACUGUUUUCCUGUGUUCCACAGGCUAUUUCAAUGUUGUAUUUAUAUGCAGCAAUUGCUCCUGAAGCAUGCAGGUUUGUGCAGUACCUUUCACUAUAUUCAUAACCAACACGCAGGGCUUUUUUCCUGUAAAUACAAAUACAGCCCAAAAAAAAGAAAAAGUACUUAUGCUUUUCGCUAUAUUAUUUAUUAGGCUAAUUGUUGGAAAAGGCUUUAAACACAUUUUGAAGAUGUAUUAAAAUAUAUAAUUAUCUAACUACUCAUAA